Molecule: long non-coding RNA, 252 nt
Filed under: Elaeis guineensis (African oil palm)
Lineage: Eukaryota; Viridiplantae; Streptophyta; Magnoliopsida; Arecales; Arecaceae
Description: long non-coding RNA (EGUI_LNC036074)
Source: RNAcentral
CCUCACCCUCUUGGAUGAGGACUACCCACUCAAAGAGCUCAUCUUGUUCUUCAUUGCCAUUUUGAUGAACAAUAGCGAUGGCUUCAUUGUUUUUAGACAAGGAAAAAAGAAUUUGCCUCUGAUGGUUGCAAUGGCAAAAGAGCAACUUAUGAUGAGAUGGCAAGAAAUCUUAUCGGAUGGAUGGUCUAUUUAUAUGGACCACUGAUGGUACAGAGUUGGCUAUUGAAUCAUCAGAUUCUAUCACUUGGCCAA